Molecule: transfer RNA, 86 nt
Filed under: Candidatus Aenigmatarchaeota archaeon
Lineage: Archaea; Nanobdellati; Candidatus Aenigmatarchaeota
Description: tRNA-Ser
Rfam family: tRNA
About the family: Transfer RNA (tRNA) molecules are approximately 80 nucleotides in length. Their secondary structure includes four short double-helical elements and three loops (D, anti-codon, and T loops).
Source: RNAcentral
GCUGGGAUGGCGGAACCAGGCUAACGCGCCGGACUUGAGAUCCGGUGGGCUUUUUGCCCGUGCAGGUUCGAAUCCUGCUCCCAGCG